RNA transcript from Physcomitrium patens, 642 nucleotides. RefSeq lists it as uncharacterized. Lineage: Eukaryota; Viridiplantae; Streptophyta; Bryopsida; Funariales; Funariaceae. The record is from RefSeq and is a predicted model, not a curated record.
GGGUUCGUGCCUCGUUGCGCAGGGCAUUCGAUCAACAAUUUUGAAGCUAUUCUCUGCAGUUCCGCUCAACCCAUCGUUGAUCUCUACGCUCUCGUGCAAUUGGUGUGUUGUGCGCGAUCGGCUUGCUCUAGAAGUAGUUGUGUAUUGUGGGUUUUGAUCAGUGAAGGAGGGUUGCGUGUGUUUUUUUUUAUCCGUUUGUUGUAAAAGAUGACGACCUCGAAGAGGCUUGCGGACAAGAAGAGCGCUAAGUUCCAGAAGAACGUGCACAGGAGGGGCAGUGUCCCAGAGACGACGAUUAAGAAGAAGAACCAGUAUCCUGUUGGUCCGAUGGUGCUCGGCCUGUUUGUUUUCGUCGUCAUUGGGUCUUCUCUCAUCCAGAUCCUCCGCACUGCUACCACCGGCGCCAUGGCGUGAUGAGGUGAUGGCGUGGAUAGCGAUUUUUUAGUGCAGUAUACACGGCUAUGCGGUUAUUUGUUUUAGGAGCUUAUGUCAUGAGGAAACCGCGCCGUAAUGGUUUCGAGGGUUUUCAUGGAGUGCUCAAUUGUCGUAGCCUCCUUGUCCGAUGAUUGAUCUCUUAUGUAAACUUUGAUAAUCUCAAUCUUAAUAUUGCCGUGUCUUACGGCACUUCCAUACUUGUUGAAA